GACGGGAGCCCGCACAAGCGUGGAGCGUGUGGUUUAAUUCGACAAUAAGCGAGGAACCUCACCAAGACUUGACAUCUAGCUGCACACUCUGAGAAAUCAGAGUUCCUUCGAGGGUGCUAGACAGGUGCUGCAUGGUUGUCGUCAGCUCGUGUCGUGAGAUGUUGGGUUAAGUCCCUUAACGAGCGCAACCCUUAUCCUAUGUUAAAUAUCCAUAGGAGACUGCCCCGGUUUAACGGGGAGGAAGGCGAGGAUGACGUCAAAUCAGCAUGGCUCUUACGUCUUGGGCAACACACGCGCUACAAUGGUCAGUACAAUGGGUCGCAAAGUCGCAAGGCGAAGCUAAUCCCAUCAAAACUGGCCUCAGUUCGGAUUGGGGUCUGCAACUCGACCCCAUGAAGUUGGAAUCGCUAGUAAACGCUGAUCAGCUACGCAGCGUUGAAUACGUUCUCGGGCUUU
This 456-nucleotide ribosomal RNA is filed under the name uncultured Parcubacteria group bacterium. RNAcentral describes it as "bacterial SSU rRNA". It matches the Rfam family "Bacterial small subunit ribosomal RNA", at positions 912 to 1382 of the family's 1533-position model. The record is from RNAcentral.